RNAcentral lists this long non-coding RNA (5831 nucleotides) under Capsicum annuum. RNAcentral's name for it is "long non-coding RNA (CANN_LNC013091)". The record is from RNAcentral. Lineage: Eukaryota; Viridiplantae; Streptophyta; Magnoliopsida; Solanales; Solanaceae.
GUUAUGAAACAAGUGUUUACUCUGCUGAUUUCUUCAUCAACACAGUUUAGUUAUUAUCAUGAUCACUGAAUGUCUAUUAUGUAUAUGCAAGACAUUUGUAUUGCAUUCACUGAUUUGGCACAAACACUUGUUGCAGACCUUCAGGUAAGAUUAUUCCUCGAUGUAGCCUAAAGAUCGUGCUCAGAUAAUCCGGCCUUCAAUCUUUGUGUUGAAACCAUAUGAUACCAUCUUCUAUCCUAUAUAGUAGCGUAUUAUUGUUUUCACCACUGUUCUCUAUAUGUCCUUGUGUACUAUUAUAUAGUCAGAACUGGAAGGACAUGAUCAUUACACGUUUCUUACACUAGUUGCUUUACUGAAUGGCCUUUGUAUGAAUACAUUUCAUUAUGUCAUGUUUCUAACAAACUCUAACAAUUAAGAACUCGAUGCAGCAAUGGCUUGAAGAAUGGUUUUGUGCCAUGGAUUGGAGAGAUGCUCGAUCAGAUUGUCAAUAGGACCAACAUGAGUAACAGAAGCCUGGACGAAGAUACCAAGCAUAGCCACCAUAGCUAGCCGGCCUACAAAACAGAGGGAAGUAUAAAUAUUGGACAAAAAUUGAAAGAACUAAGAGAAUGAUGCAUAUUAACAAACCGUUUUUAAUCUCUUUCUGUUUCCAGUCUUUAGCAUUCUUGAUAUCUUUCGCAAUUCCAAGAGGAUUCAAUAAAGGACCACCGGGGUACCUACCAAAUGUCAAAGAUAAUCGGCACUGACAAGGGUAAGCCUUUCAAGUAUAAGGAUACCAUCUUUUGUCAAACAAAAAUAUGUAAUUUACCCUGGUUCAAGGCCUUCCAGUGCGGCUUCUAGUCCAAAAAAGGAUCCAGGUUUUGCUUGAGAGCCAGGAUUAAGAAAAUCCAUAAAUCUUUUUGUCUCAACAAACCUGUCACAAAUAAGAAAUCAGAUUGAAUAAUGAGCAGUAUAUAGAUUGUCCAGAAUCAACAUUCUGUUAGCAGGUCAAACAUUUUACCCCAUCAAUAAUAGUUGAAUAAUGAGCAGUGUUGUUGUGCUGGCAAAAUUAAAUUUUGUAGCUCCUGCUUCAUACCACACUGGCAAGUCCCUUAUUCCAGUCACACGAAGCAACUAAAAAGAAAAUCCCGAGAAUCACCAGAAAUGUUUAGCUACACUGUGAAGCCGUGAGAAAAAAUGUUGCAGAAGUAUUUAAUAACUUACAUCUGUUAAAAGAAUUCCAGCAACCCCAGCCAUGGCAAAGCGGGCAUGAACAAGUUCUGCUUGGACAUACCAUCUCAAACUUUCGGGAUCCUCUCCAAGUCCUAGUGGAUCAAAACCAAAAUCUCCAGCAAGACUAUAAGAGAAUUAAAAAGUAUGAUCAGCCGUUAAGUAGGAAGUUUCAUAUCUAAUAGCAUAUUGAAUAAUAUGAAUUGAUGAUUUCCUCGGGGUUCAAGGCUAAGAAUGAAGAAGCUCCCGAUGGGGAGGUAGAAUCAGAAUUNNNNNNNNNNNNNNNNNNNNNNNNNNNNNNNNNNNNNNNNNNNNNNNNNNNNNNNNNNNNNNNNNNNNNNNNNNNNNNNNNNNNNNNNNNNNNNNNNNNNNNNNNNNNNNNNNNNNNNNNNNNNNNNNNNNNNNNNNNNNNNNNNNNNNNNNNNNNNNNNNNNNNNNNNNNNNNNNNNNNNNNNNNNNNNNNNNNNNNNNNNNNNNNNNNNNNNNNNNNNNNNNNNNNNNNNNNNNNNNNNNNNNNNNNNNNNNNNNNNNNNNNNNNNNNNNNNNNAAAGAGGUACUACUGCAUGACAAACGCAAAAGUGAUGAUUCAUCAACCACGUGAAACUUCUGGUGGUAAAAUAAAUAUGUGCUCUCAUUAAAAUAUAUAUUUAUGUUUACAUUAUUAUAUUAACACAUGAAAAAUCUUUGAAAAUUAAUUUAAACCUUUACACUUUGUUAAAAAUUUCCGCAAUAAAUAAAAUUAUUUAAUUUUAAAAAUUAUACGUGUGAGGCACGUGCAGUUAAACUAGUUAUUAAUAUAUUCGUUUCUUGUUUUUUUUUUUUUUUUUUGGCGAUAAAGGAAGUUUCGUUCAUUACUAGCUAAGGUUAAAUGCUUCAGUACAUUCCGAGGGCAUAGUCCUAACUGGGGAAGGGUCCACCCUAACACUAAACUUACAAACUUGACCACUAAAAGUUGCAAUUAACCUUCUGAAGACAUAGAUCUAGCUGGGGAGGGGUCGACCCUAACACUACACAUAAACUUGUCUGCUAAUAUAAUUACAACCAUCUAGAGAUAAGGGCAUACAGCGCCCUACAGAAGAAGUUCCCGCCUUGUCUGCUUCCAACUGAUUUCGAACAAACAUGUCCUUAGAGAAAUUGAAUGAAAAAAAAAAAAUUAUUAGUCAUCCGUUGAGCAAAGAAGAAUGUCUUGACUCUUGAGGGAUAAUUUUUUUAUACUUUUGAUAUUUUUACAGAAAAAAAAACGUUCCACAUAUUCUUUUUUCUUUUCCUUUAUUUCCUUCUUUUUACUUUUAAUUCCUCUCGUCGUUUUGAAAAAAACAAAAAAAAGAGAAUUUCGUUAGCAUGUUAGAGGCAAAUUUAAGCAAAUUCAUCAACGAUAAAAACAUACUUAAAACCAACGGAGGAUAAAAUUAUUUUAUUUUCAUAAUGGAGUCAAUUUCCGUUUAAGAAAUAUACAUAAUGAAUUCACUAUUGAGAAGCAAAAGAUACAAGUACGUAAUAUGCAAUAAAAGGACAUGCAUUAUACAAUUAUAUAUUUAUACGACUCAAUUUGUUGGAUGUAUUAGCAGUAUGGCAGCAGAGAAUGGGUCAUACUACUCUACUUCCUUCCCAUAUCAAGGGAGAAACCCAAAUUCAUACAACUCGGGACUUUACUUCCUUAGUUUGAUACGAGAGACAAAAAAUAAUAAUUUUAAUAUAAAUACAUGAAUGAUUAUUAAAUGUUGUAUUUGGUUAGAGUACUAACAGUCUCAAAUAUAUGAUAAAAUAAUUAAUCCUCCAAAAUAUGUUAAUGCAUGAGAUAACUUUAUCUAUGUCGUCCCUACUAACGAGCAACACCCUCAACCAACCCUCAGUCCUCUACACCAAUUAAAGACUCAGGUGAUGAUAAUGACUUCCGCAAUGCAUGGACUGAUGGACAUAAUGCCAAUUUAAUUCUGUCGGCAGCAAAAAUAAAUUCAAUCAAAUUUGAAUUCUUAAAGUAAUAUUAUUGUUAAAACUUAACACACUUGCUCGAACUCCAGUUUAAGUGAAGUACUAUUAUUCUCACUUUAAUAUAUUUAAUUUUUAUUAAGUCUAUUAAAUUGUUUGAUUUGAUGUAUACACUUAAAAAUAUUUACCUUUGUCGUUGAAGCAAAAUUCGAGUUCCAAAUGCUAAAAUAAAAAGAAUUAUAUUCAAAGCCUAGUACAUGUGUUUACAAAUGGAGCCUCAGUAAUUUUGACACAUGGGGAAGUCAGUAUCACCAUGUCCUAUUUAAUUUGUUUGAAAAAUUGGUAAUUUGUGUGUCCAUACUGAACUACCAAAACCUAUUCAUUAAGAAAAAGACUUCAGAUGUUAUGAAAUGUGAACUGUUACAUUAAAUGAAUGAUGCUCAGUUGAUGUUACAGUUUAAUUAUAUAAUCUAAAAUGAUGUACUACUAAUCUUUAUUUGAAUUUCAUUAAUAUAUGCGGACGUCAAGCAUUGAAAAAUAUUCAAGACCUACGCAGAUCCUUCCACCCAAUCAGGAGUGGAAGGAACUUCAAGAUAUCGAGUUUAUCUGAACUCAAUAUUUUCGACAACAACAAUAACAUAUCCAAUAUAUAUUCCCACAAAGUGUCAUCUAGAACGGAUAGAAUAUAAGUAAUUCAUACCACUACCUCAAAAGGUGAGUAUAUUCCCACAACUCAAUAAUUUCGACGAGGAGUAUAAAUUAAAUAUAAAAAUGAACUAAAAUUGCUAAGUAGAUAUAAAUUCAUAUCUUUAAAAUAUUUAAUUAUAAAAGCCUUAGAUAUUGAACUCAGAAAAUUUAAAUUUUGAAAUCGCCUUUGCAUGCAACUUCUAGUCUCUUCUCCUCAGUUUCGUUGUGACCAUCUACAUCAAAGAUUUAUUGAGAUGGUUAAUUCGAUCGUUACUAAUAUCUUUAAUGUAAGAGCGUCAGAUCAUGGCCUUUUAAGUCAUGUCAAGAUUGUGAUAAAUACUUACGAGUAUAUGAUUUGUAGUAGAAAUAUACAACAUAAAAUCCUACAAAACUCACACUAUAUAAAUGGUGAAAGAUAAUUUGACAAAAACUAUCAAUGACCAAUUGAGUGCAUGAAAUUUUCUCCUAGUUGUUGGAGUCCAUCGAACAGUAGUUUGUAAAUGAUGGAGCAAACAAAAAUAAAAGAAGAAAAUGAUUUGUAAAUAGAUAAGGUGGCAUCAAGAUCAAAAUCUUUCUCAAUCAACCUGAUCAAAACUUGUAUGCAACACUUGUACCAAAUGCACAAGGUUUUGCAAACUCUUUUCUCAUCUAAGACCACAGCCAAUAUUCUACAACAAUAUAUUCGGUGUAAUCCCAAAAGUGGGAUCUUAGGAGGAUAGGCGUACACACAACUUAAUCCUACCCUAUUCCAAUAGACCCUCCACUACGAGAGCCAAUAUUCUGAAAUCAAGAAAAGAGGUUUUUGUUGAGUUCCAGAACCCAUUAAGCUUUGAAUUUGGUUUCAAAACCAGAUACCAGUGUUGUCAGUUUGGUCUGAGGUACUAAAUCAAAUAGUCCUGGGAUAAAAUUUUUAGUACACCGUUUGAUUGUCAAGGUCGGGAUAACUUAUUCCACCAUUUACACCAUAGUAAUGAGAUAAGUUAUCCCCAAUACAUUGUGGGAUAACUAAUCCCGGGAUAACCCUUUCCCAAUCAAACGGCUAGUGCACUCAUACCAUCAUAGUUUGGAAAGACCUUCACUCCACUAGAAUACAUCAGGAAACUGGAGAAUUAUCAUGAUAAAAUUUCAAUGUUUUCUAUUCCAUCACUCUCGGUAUUGCAAAACAUGUACAUUGAUCUGACAUUACAUAUGUAGUUUACUUAAUUUAAUUACAUAAUCAUGGUAAAGAACAUUAGUUUGGUGUAUACACCGGGUGCGUGUAAAUUUUUACCUUAGAUUACUUGGUUGUGAACAGCUAUUCUUGAGCAACAUUUAAACCACAUAUUCAGAAUUCAAACCAUAAAAUAUAUCAUGUACCUCACACAAAAGGCCAGCCAAAAGAGCAAUUUCGAGUUCAAUUAAACUAAAAUGGGAGAACUAUUUACCAAAAUUACCUCAUAAACGUAGUUGAGUCACAAUAAUCAGGCAUGUUUCUAACCAGUGACUAGAUAACAAGACAGCUCUAGUAGAGUCCCUGCCACAAAUGUUGUUGUCUAAACUACCCAAAAGUUUUUGGAACAAACCAAGCCAACUCUUUGUGUUAUACAAUGUAAUUAUAACUGUUAUAUAAUGUGUUUGUGUGCUUUGAUCAACUUAGAAGUCAUGCUCCGAAUGAUUUUGUUUUAGUUGUGCUGCUAGAUUUUGAUCUGUGGGACACUGCAUUUUUCUGCUGAUAUGUCCUUGUUAUGAAACAAGUGUUUACUCUGCUGAUUUCUUCAUCAACACAGUUUAGUUAUUAUCAUGAUCACUGAAUGUCUAUUAUGUAUAUGCAAGACAUUUGUAUUGCAUUCACUGAUUUGGCACAAACACUUGUUGCAGACCUUCAGGUAAGAUUAUUCCUCGAUGUAGCCUAAAGAUCGUGCUCAGAUAAUCCGGCCUUCAAUCUUUGUGUUGAAACCAUAUGAUACCAUCUUCUAUCCUAUAUAGUAGCGUAUUAUUGUUUUCACCACUGUUCUCUAUAUGUCCUU